RNAcentral lists this long non-coding RNA (664 nucleotides) under Malus domestica (apple). Its description in RNAcentral is "long non-coding RNA (MDOM_LNC008105)". The record is from RNAcentral. Lineage: Eukaryota; Viridiplantae; Streptophyta; Magnoliopsida; Rosales; Rosaceae.
AGGUGGUGAUGUUGAACGUUUUAGUUGAUGAAUGAAAUAUUCAGAGAAGUUUCUCAGUUUGUGCCUUUCUCUUUGUGAGAUUGUUUUGCUUUGUUCUUCUAGUUGUCUACGUUGUAGGCUAGUACUAGAUACGGGGUUUUAGGGUUCUUCUAGUCACCAAAAUUCUACCUUCACACCGACGAACCCAUAACCCAACUCCCUACUUGCUUCCCAACGACCAUAACCUAGAUUUCCCCUAUUUGCUUCACGAAGGAACAGUUGAUUUGAUAUGUGGAAUUGGGUUCUCCAUUUUCUUCAAUUGAACUCGAAUCAGACCCAGAAAACAAAUAUAACGAUCUCGACCUCAAAGACUUAGAAUCCGAAAACAAUCUCCACAAUUUCAGAUCCAUCCGCUAUCCCUCUCGCGCCAAGCCAUUUCAAGUGAAACAAAAUAAAUACAAAGUUUCAUAAUUUGAAGAAAAAGAAGAAGGCCAGAGUAAUUUGAAGUCGGUCGGGAGAAAAAUGAAUAGGAGUAAGUGAUUGGAGGUUAAACGGGACAGAAAAGAGAAAGGGAAAAAAGACAGUGGUACAGAAAAGGGCAAAGAAAGGGGAGAAGGGAGGGAUGCAGUGGCGAAGAAAAAAAAAUGAGAAGGAAGAUGAUUAAGAGUUUGACCCGAAUAAAAGG